AAAGAAACCAACAGGGAUUGCCCUAGUAACGGCGAGUGAAGCGGCAACAGCUCAAAUUUGAAAUCUGGCGUGAGCCCGAGUUGUAAUUUGUAGAGGAUGCUUCUGGGUAGCGGCCGGUCUAAGUUCCUUGGAACAGGACGUCAUAGAGGGUGAGAAUCCCGUAUGUGACUGGCCCGCACCCUCCACGAAGCUCCUUCGACGAGUCGAGUUGUUUGGGAAUGCAGCUCUAAAUGGGAGGUAAAUUUCUUCUAAAGCUAAAUACUGGCCAGAGACCGAUAGCGCACAAGUAGAGUGAUCGAAAGAUGAAAAGCACUUUGGAAAGAGAGUUAAAAAGCACGUGAAAUUGUUGAAAGGGAAGCGCCCGCAACCAGACUUUGCGGCGGUGUUCGGCUGGUCUUCUGACCGGUUUACUCACCGCCGUGAGGCCAUCAUCGUCUGGGACCGCUGGAUAAGACCUGAGGAAUGUAGCUCCCUUCGGGGUGUAUUAUAGCCUCUGGUGAUGCAGCGCGUCUCGGGCGAGGUCCGCGCUCCGGCAAGGAUGAUGGCGUAAUGGUUGUCGGCGGCCCGUCUUGA
This 573-nucleotide ribosomal RNA is filed under the name Pseudocercospora musae. Its description in RNAcentral is "eukaryotic LSU rRNA". It matches the Rfam family "Eukaryotic large subunit ribosomal RNA", at positions 58 to 657 of the family's 3401-position model. The record is from RNAcentral. Lineage: Eukaryota; Fungi; Ascomycota; Dothideomycetes; Mycosphaerellales; Mycosphaerellaceae.